This 374-nucleotide unclassified non-coding RNA is filed under the name soil metagenome. RNAcentral's name for it is "partial contains internal transcribed spacer 2 and large subunit ribosomal RNA". The stretch from base 1 to 120 matches the Rfam family "5.8S ribosomal RNA", at positions 35 to 154 of the family's 154-position model. The record is from RNAcentral.
GAUGAAGAACGUAGCGAAAUGCGAUAAUUAAUGUGAAUUGCAGAAUUCCGUGAAUCAUCGAGUCUUUGAACGCACAUUGCGCCUCAUGGCAUUCCGUGAGGCAUGCCCAUCUCAGCGUUAGAAAAUAUUCUCAAAUUUUAGUUUUGUGCUAAAAUUUGGAUCAUGUCAAGGAAGCUAUUACUAUUAUUGUGAUCGCUCUUUGGAAAUUGAUAGGUCUUUGAGUUGCUACUCAUAGAACGUGAUGAAUCUUUCUUCGUUCUAUUGUAAUUCACUCUGGUAGUCCUAAAACUUGUAUGCCUGUGGCGUAUCUUGUAAUUUGACCUGAGAUUGGGUAGGGAUACCCGCUGAACUUAAGCAUAUCAAUAAGCGGAGGA